This 1326-nucleotide long non-coding RNA is filed under the name Vulpes vulpes (red fox). RNAcentral describes it as "lncRNA (ENSVVUG00000001038.1)". Lineage: Eukaryota; Metazoa; Chordata; Mammalia; Carnivora; Canidae. The record is from RNAcentral.
AUGGGAGGCCCGGGAAGGCGGCACCUGCCGGGGUCACAAGCGGGCGCAGCGGGGCCGCCGACCANGCGUCGCGGCCACGACUGUGAACCAGAGGUCCCUGGUGACUGUGUUAUCGCCCCCACCCCGGGAAGGUGCAGCUACAGACGGGAGAUGGGAGGCCCAGGAAGGCGGCACCUGCCGGGGUCACAAGCGGGCGCAGCGGGGCCACCGACCAAGGCCGCUCCUUCCCAGCUCGGCGUCCUGCGCGGGAGGCAGCUGUUCCGCUGCCCGGUUUUCCUGCGGCUGCAUAUGGGGCACGCGCCGUCCGUUCAGAGCACGGGGGGAAGGGAAAUUACUUUCUCCCUGGGACACUUCCUAGCAGAUCAAGGUUUUAUGGCCAAGUGCACGGCUGACCGCAUCGGGCCCUCCAGCCAGGGCCACAUAGAGCAAACCACAGCGUCCCCGGGAGGGUCCCCGUCUCCCCAAUGCAGAUACCACAAGCUCGGUGACGACGGAGUCUGCAGGCCCACCCCCUGGAAGAGCCAAAGCUGCUGUUCUGGCUCUAGAAGCCCGGCAGGUCCAGUCCGGACACUGGGUGGCCACCACCAUGCAGAGCAUGGCAGGCGUCCUGGCGCUGCACGGAAGGGGACAGGACGAGGUGGUCUCCCUUUGGUCAACUGCUCGCCUCGGGGGGAGUGCGUUAGGGCAGCAGUAGAGCCAGUGAGGCUCCAGCAAAGGCGGCCAGAGUGCGGCGGGCCGCGAGGGAAGGCGGCGGGCCGGGGUGCACGAGCGGCCAGGCCUCGGGGGGAACCCCGCCGUCGCAAGGGCCAGCUUUGGAACACAAUCGAGUGGCCCAGUAGACCCACGACUUUGCGCCCACAGCCACUUAGGAUGAGGCAUAAUUGGGGGGAAAAUAAGUUGACAAAGAAAAACAUGGAACAAAGCAAUGCGGGAUGGGACACGGCUUUGGUAAGAGGGACACGGAACGACUGNCGGGGGGAACCCCGCCGUCGCAAGGGCGAGCUUCGGAACACAGUCGAGUGGCCCAGUAGACCCACGACUUUGCGCCCACUGCCGCUUAGGAUGAGUCAUAAUUGGGGGGAAAAUAAGUUGACAAAGAAAAACAUGGGACAAAGCAAUGCGGGAUGGGACACGGCUUUGGUAAGAGGGACACGGAACGACUGGCGUCUGGGAAAGGGUGGGCUGACAGUUGUGAGCGGGCCAGGCCCUGGAGGCGCAAGGCCUCGCGUGUCAAUCCUGGCUCACUGUCUUGUCAUCUGGCAGGAUUUCGGGCACUUUCCUCACCGAGGAGGCGAGGAUGACGACACUGACCGCACAGGGCAGUAG